GCCUGGCUGGCUCAGUGAGUAGAGCAUGUGACUCUCGAUUUCAGGACUGUGAGUUUGAACCCAAUGUUGGGCA
Non-coding RNA from Ailuropoda melanoleuca (giant panda), 73 nucleotides. The record is from Rfam. NCBI's taxonomy places the organism in Eukaryota, Metazoa, Chordata, Mammalia, Carnivora, Ursidae.